RNAcentral lists this ribosomal RNA (261 nucleotides) under Triticum aestivum (bread wheat). Its description in RNAcentral is "partial small subunit ribosomal RNA". Lineage: Eukaryota; Viridiplantae; Streptophyta; Magnoliopsida; Poales; Poaceae. The record is from RNAcentral.
AUGCCCAUAGCGAAGAUGGCUGAGCAAAAUUUGUGACGUCGUCUUGGCAUAGUGGAUGGCGCGGAGGAGGUCACCGAGCAUGCCAUUGAUGAGUUCGUCUGCAUGUUCAAGCAGAAGCUCCCCUCUACAGCUGUGGCAGCCCUGCGUGCCCUUUUUCGCCUAGAUUGUGAGGAAGCCGGGGCCAUGGAGGAAGCCCUGAUGCGCCGGGGUGGGAAGGACGCCCUGGACCAGGAGGUACAUGGAGAUGAUCCAGUGAGCUAA